RNAcentral lists this ribosomal RNA (433 nucleotides) under uncultured bacterium. RNAcentral describes it as "partial 16S ribosomal RNA". It matches the Rfam family "Bacterial small subunit ribosomal RNA", at positions 28 to 507 of the family's 1533-position model. The record is from RNAcentral.
GACGAACGCUGGCGGCAUGCCUAACACAUGCAAGUCGAACGAGACGUUCGGGUCUAGGUGCGCACGUGGGCGUGAGGAGGGGGAACCUGCCCGUAGGUUAGGAAUAACUGCCCUAGGGGGGUGCUAAUGCCGCAUGAGGUCUUAGCGCCAAGGAGUUAUCGCCUUUGGAUGGGCGCGCGUUGGUUUAGGUGGUUGGUAGGGUAAAAGCCUACCAAGGCGUCGAUGCAUAGCUGGUGUGAGAGGAUGAUCAUCCACACUGGAAAUGCGACACGGACCAGAAUUGUACGGGAGGGAGCAGUGGGGAACAUUGGACAAUGGGCCAAAGCCUGAUCCCGCCACGCCGCGUGAGGGAUGCAGGGCUUAGGGUUGCACAGCUCCUUUACCCGGGAUGAUAAUGACAGUAACGGGAGAAUAAGCUCCGGCUAACUACGUG